Molecule: unclassified non-coding RNA, 186 nt
Filed under: fungal sp.
Lineage: Eukaryota; Fungi
Description: partial internal transcribed spacer region
Rfam family: Eukaryotic small subunit ribosomal RNA (bases 1-46)
Source: RNAcentral
AAGUCGUAACAAGGUUUCCGUAGGUGAACCUGCGGAAGGAUCAUUACAAAUGGAAUAAUCCAUAUACCUUUGUGUUACUCUUAGAAGAUGAUGUUUCAUCUUUUUUUAAUGAUUUAUUAUACAAUAGUUUUUUUAAUUUAAUACAACUGUUGGCAAUGGAUCACUUGGUUCUGGUUUCGAUGAAGA